This 913-nucleotide long non-coding RNA is filed under the name Medicago truncatula (barrel medic). RNAcentral describes it as "long non-coding RNA (MTRU_LNC002682)". The record is from RNAcentral. Lineage: Eukaryota; Viridiplantae; Streptophyta; Magnoliopsida; Fabales; Fabaceae.
GCAUAUUAUACAUCAAUUAUUAGCAAAAUCACGUGAAAUGGAAAUGAAUUUGGAUUAUUAUCUAAAACAUGACAUGUAAGAAUAGAAAAAUAUUGAAACAAAAAACCUUUUUAAUAAAACUAAUAUUUGUAUUAUAAGAGUUGUAAGUACACAUAUAAUCCAUGUAUCUAAUAUUCUACGCCACUGCGAAAAUGACAUUUAAAAAAAAUUAACUACUCAUCGUAGACAAUUUCAAUAGACAAGUAUAGAUUAGAAUUAACUACUAAAUGUAAUAAUCCCCACAACAAAUGUGGUAUACACAUGUACAGUAAUUAAGUCCAAUUGUAGAUGUCAUCCCUCCAUUGUCACAAGUCUGCCUAUAGUCGUCAUCCUUCAAUCAUCAACUGCACAAAAUCACAGCAAAAUCUUGGAUAAAUUCAUAUAGAAAAACCGCUUCAAUUUUCAACAACAAACAAAUAAAAUACAAGUUAGCAUAAAUCCAUUGCAAAACAAACAAAUAAAAUACAAGUUAGCAUAAAUCCAUUGCAAAACUAUGCUAGCCUGAUAGAUACAAUAAUUCGAAGUCUGUUUUCUUUUUUAUAAAAAACGCAAUACCUGGUACAUGCAAAUUCCGGUUUUAUUUGCUGAAGGGUUGGCACUGCCAUCCUCUGAGGCCUCAUCUUCUCCAUUGGCUACAAAUAUUCCACUGCCAGUAAUCUCCUUCAUCUUAUACUCUGAACAUGGCUUUCUGGAAAUUCAACAGCCAAAAAAAUUCAGAAGCCUCGCAAGGAUGGACAAAAAACACCAAGCAAAACUGAUCUAGGAUUAUAAGUUCAGUUCAUAAAUGAUACAAAACUUGAGCUAGUAUUCACCUCACACUAGUCUAGAAACACAUAUUUAAGCUGUUAAUAAAGCAGCAGGGCAGAUUAAACUA